This 451-nucleotide ribosomal RNA is filed under the name uncultured bacterium. Its description in RNAcentral is "partial 16S ribosomal RNA". It matches the Rfam family "Bacterial small subunit ribosomal RNA", at positions 354 to 796 of the family's 1533-position model. The record is from RNAcentral.
GUGGGGAAUAUUGGACAAUGGGGGGAACCCUGAUCCAGCCAUGCCGCGUGUGUGAAGAAGGCCUUUUGGUUGUAAAGCACUUUAAGCGAGGAGGAGGCUACCGAGAUUAAUACUCUUGGAUAGUGGACGUUACUCGCAGAAUAAGCACCGGCUAACUCUGUGCCAGCAGCCGCGGUAAUACAGAGGGUGCAAGCGUUAAUCGGAUUUACUGGGCGUAAAGCGCGCGUAGGUGGCCAAUUAAGUCAAAUGUGAAAUCCCCGAGCUUAACUUGGGAAUUGCAGUCGAUACUGGUUGGCUAGAGUAUGGGAGAGGAUGGUAGAAUUCCAGGUGUAGCGGUGAAAUGCGUAGAGAUCUGGAGGAAUACCGAUGGCGAAGGCAGCCAUCUGGCCUAAUACUGACACUGAGGUGCGAAAGCAUGGGGAGCAAACAGGAUUAGAAACCCUGGUAGUCC